Molecule: small nuclear RNA, 19 nt
Filed under: Arabidopsis thaliana (thale cress)
Lineage: Eukaryota; Viridiplantae; Streptophyta; Magnoliopsida; Brassicales; Brassicaceae
Description: snRNA_16250
Source: RNAcentral
ACUGGUUGAGCCAGAUGGA